This 107-nucleotide small nuclear RNA is filed under the name Microcebus murinus (gray mouse lemur). The record is from RNAcentral. Lineage: Eukaryota; Metazoa; Chordata; Mammalia; Primates; Cheirogaleidae.
GUGCUCGCUUCAGCAGCACAUAUACUAAAAUUGGAAUGAUACAGAGAAGAUUAGCAUGGUCCCUGUACAAAGAUGACACAGAAAAAGAAAAAAAAAAUCCCUUAAUU